RNAcentral lists this small RNA (177 nucleotides) under Mytilus galloprovincialis (Mediterranean mussel). Lineage: Eukaryota; Metazoa; Mollusca; Bivalvia; Mytilida; Mytilidae. The record is from RNAcentral.
UGAAACUAACACCAUAACGAGUAGCAUGUUUAUUUUUUAAUCAAAAUAUUCAAAUCAAUAUAUUUAAUAAACCAGAUUAUGUGUGUGUGUGUGUGUGUGUGUGUGUGUGUGUGUGUGUGUGUGUGUGUGUGUGACAAGCUCCCGGACAUAAUCGGUGAGACCUGAUUUCGGGUUCAA